Molecule: transfer RNA, 62 nt
Filed under: Empoascanara alami
Lineage: Eukaryota; Metazoa; Arthropoda; Insecta; Hemiptera; Cicadellidae
Also listed under: 1 other name
Description: tRNA-Arg
Source: RNAcentral
AACAUAGAAGUAAAAUUUACAUUUAGUUUCGACCUAAAAUUUAAGGUAUCAACCUCAUGUUU